CUCCUCCUCCUUUCUCUUCUCCUCCUUCCUCUCCUCUUCCUCCUUCCUCUCCUCUUCCUCCUUCCUCUCAUCCUUCUGUCCUCCACUUUUCUCUCCUCCUCCUCCUCCUCCAGAGGGAAGCGUAACAUGCAGGCUCACAGCAACAGCCAAAUUAAAGCAGGUUCAACACCAUCUCCUCCUAGAUGUCUAAGGGUUGUUCAUACGCGUGGAAAAUGUGUUUACCUGACUCUGAUGUCAAGCUGAUUGAGACCAGUGGAACCUAUCUGCCAAAGAGCCGUCAUGGAGGACACAGCCAGGCCUCAUCCACCGUGUCAACAACAAGUAAUAAGCAGAGGUCUGGGCCAUCAAUCUCGUCAGCAGGUUUAACAGGGGAUUGAUGGGUUAAUCAGAGGAAGAGCCAAAGCCAAGCAGUUGCUACAAGGAACCUCUCCUUCACCUGAAUGAUUAUGUUCUAAAUGAGAAGGCUUUGUUUAUCAUUUUUUAAAUACUAUUGUCACAGUUAUAGACAAGUGCUAAUUUAGUUUCUAUUAUCACGAGACAACAAACCCGUCCAAUAGAAUUUUCACUCUUUUUCUUUAUGGGGCUAAUCGUUCCUCUUCUUUCUG
Molecule: long non-coding RNA, 605 nt
Filed under: Salmo salar (Atlantic salmon)
Lineage: Eukaryota; Metazoa; Chordata; Actinopteri; Salmoniformes; Salmonidae
Description: lncRNA (ENSSSAG00000102815.1)
Source: RNAcentral